Molecule: ribosomal RNA, 253 nt
Filed under: uncultured bacterium
Lineage: Bacteria
Description: partial 16S ribosomal RNA
Rfam family: Bacterial small subunit ribosomal RNA
Source: RNAcentral
GACAGAGGGGGCAAGCGUUGCUCGGAAUGACUGGGCGUAAAGGGCGCGUAGGCGGUUUGUUUAGUUAGGCGUGAAAUUCCUGGGCUCAACCUGGGGGCUGCGCUUAAUACAGGCAGACUAGAGUGUGAAAGAGGGUCGUGGAAUUUCCAGUGUAGAGGUGAAAUUCGUAGAUAUUGGAAAGAACACCGGUGGCGAAGGCGGCGACCUGGUUCAUUACUGACGCUGAGGCGCGAAAGCCAGGGGAGCAAACGGG